RNAcentral lists this long non-coding RNA (312 nucleotides) under Nicotiana benthamiana. RNAcentral's name for it is "long non-coding RNA (NBEN_LNC031019)". The record is from RNAcentral. Lineage: Eukaryota; Viridiplantae; Streptophyta; Magnoliopsida; Solanales; Solanaceae.
AAGGUGAGGGCUCGGACAGAUUUUCCUUUGGACUGCAUAAUGAUCCAUUGACAGAAUUGUAUCCAAUUUUGUCCAGUGAAAUCAUCAGUUCUCAACCAUCGCAUUGUUUGAUAUCUCAACUGUGAAGCAAAGGAGCAAUGCAGAAAUAAAUGAUCUCUAGUUUCCAAUUCUUGCUGGCACAUACACACAUUCCGGAGAUGUUCAGCUUCCAUUUUAACAGCCUGUUUUUGGUGGGAAGUCGAUCCUGCGGUAGCAACCAUAAGCUGAAGAUAGCUUUAGGUCUAGCUGCAUUUUGCAUUACCAUAUUCUUCC